This 68-nucleotide transfer RNA is filed under the name Marmota monax (woodchuck). RNAcentral's name for it is "tRNA.Ala". The stretch from base 5 to 61 matches the Rfam family "tRNA", at positions 8 to 63 of the family's 71-position model. From Rfam's summary of the family: Transfer RNA (tRNA) molecules are approximately 80 nucleotides in length. Their secondary structure includes four short double-helical elements and three loops (D, anti-codon, and T loops). The record is from RNAcentral. Lineage: Eukaryota; Metazoa; Chordata; Mammalia; Rodentia; Sciuridae.
GCUCUGGCUCAAGGGUAGAGCACUUGCCCGGCAUGUAUGAGGCCCUGGGUUCAAUUCUCAGCACCGCA